AUAAUAUUACUUAAAUACUACUUUCCUUACUGCCCCCCUCAAGAUGAGGAAGAUAGUGAGGAACCGAUUGCUGACCUACCCCUUGAAGCCUUUGAGGAUCCUGUGGAUCCAUGAACUUAUAUGAGUGCAUUAUUGUCUCGCACUUUGAUGAGUCCAUUUUUUGUAGAGACUUGUAAUUAAUUUUAUUUCUACCUCAGUAUUGUAUAGAACUCUAUUAUUAUUUUGU
This 226-nucleotide long non-coding RNA is filed under the name Carica papaya (papaya). RNAcentral's name for it is "long non-coding RNA (CPAP_LNC005584)". The record is from RNAcentral. Lineage: Eukaryota; Viridiplantae; Streptophyta; Magnoliopsida; Brassicales; Caricaceae.